AUUGAACGCUGGCGGCAGGCUUAACACAUGCAAGUCGAGCGAUCGGCGGACGGGUGAGCAAUGUCUGGGAAACUGCCUGAUGGAGGGGGAUAACUACUGGAAAUGGUAGCUAAUACCGCAUACCAUCGGAUGUGCCCAGAUGGGAUUAGCUAGUAGGUGGGGUAACGGCUAACCGAGGCGACGAUCCCUAGCUGGUCUGAGAGGAUGACCAUCCACCCUGGAACUGGGGCACGGUCCAGACUCCUACGAGAGGCAGCAGUUGGGAAUAUUGCACAGUGGGCGCAAGCCUGAUGCAGCCAUGCCGCGUGUAUGAAGAAUGCCUUCAGGUUGUAAAGUACUUUCAGCGGGGGGGCGUUACCCGCAGAAGAAGCACCGGCUAACUCCGUGCCAGCAGCCGCGGUAAUUC
This 406-nucleotide ribosomal RNA is filed under the name uncultured bacterium. Its description in RNAcentral is "partial 16S ribosomal RNA". It matches the Rfam family "Bacterial small subunit ribosomal RNA", at positions 30 to 526 of the family's 1533-position model. The record is from RNAcentral.